AUACGUAGGUGACAAGCGUUAUCCGGAUUUACUGGGCGUAAAGGGCGUGUAGGCGGUCUUGCAAGUCAGAAGUGAAAUUCCUGAGCUCAACUCGGGCGCUGCUUCUGAAACUGCAGGACUUGAGUGCUGGAGGGGAUAGCGGAAUUCCUAGUGGAGCGGUAAAAUGCGCAGAUAUUAGGAAGAACACCGGUGGCGAAGGCGGCUAUCUGGACGGUAACUGACGCUGAGGCGCGAAAGCGUGGGGAGCAAACAGGAUUAGAUACCCUGGUAGUCCACACUGUAAACGAUGAGUGCUAGGUGUAGAAGGUAUCGACCCCUUCUGUGCCGGAGUAAACGCAAUAAGCACUCCGCCUGGGGAGUACGGUCGCAAGAUUAAAACUCAAAUGAAUUGACGGGG
This 397-nucleotide ribosomal RNA is filed under the name uncultured bacterium. RNAcentral's name for it is "partial 16S ribosomal RNA". It matches the Rfam family "Bacterial small subunit ribosomal RNA", at positions 523 to 918 of the family's 1533-position model. The record is from RNAcentral.